GCUCCCUUUUCAUCUUCCGAUGUGCUUCUCUUUGCCUCUCCCGCAGCAAAUAAGAGGUUCCCGGAGCCUCCACUGCGCUCAGUAGAGCAAACUGCCCCCAAAGAGGUGUCUUGGGAAAGAGGACCGUCCCCCCGAAGCCCCUUGGGAAAACUGCCUUCCCUUUCACAGUGAAACAGCGUAACCGUGGGUACCCCGUGCACUUCGAAGACCUGUACGAAUUAAAGCCUCACCGGAGUCAGAGCGCUGGAGAGGCGUCUGACCCAGGCCGGACCCGGACCCCCAAAGGCCACCGGCGCAGCUCGGCGCAGCUCGGGAAGGAAAGACGAGCCCGACCCCGGGCCGCAGCGCAGGCGUCAACGGACCAGAGCCCAGGAGGCAGCCCUCGGGUGAAGGGACACCAUGCCAGGCAGGCCCGCUCCCAACCCCAGGAGGGUCCGCGGCCAGGCUGCUUUCUCCGGAGGAGGCGCCUGUUAACCCCGCACACAUCCGUGCCUGUUUGACCCUCAAGUCCUUGCAACAAAUGAUGCGAUUAAACGCAGACAUCCACAUCGCAAAAAGAGAUCCUGCGUCAUGUCGUGUCUAAAAAUUAAUUUCUAGAUUUAAAGGUGAAAGCUAAAGGAGUAAAGUUUUCAAGGAAAACGGGGAAAAAUCUGCUUGAUUUAGGAGCAGGUUAAGGCUUCUUGGCAGUAACCCUAAGAGAAUAAAUAGAGAAAUUAGAGGUCA
Molecule: long non-coding RNA, 723 nt
Filed under: Sus scrofa (pig)
Lineage: Eukaryota; Metazoa; Chordata; Mammalia; Artiodactyla; Suidae
Description: lncRNA (ENSSSCG00070014544.1)
Source: RNAcentral